UAGGUAGUUUGUCCUUCGGGGGGACGCUUACCACUUGGUGGUUCAUGACUGGGGUGAAGUCGUAACAAGGUAGCGCUAGGGGAACCUGGCGCUGGAUCACCUCCUUAAACGAUGAU
Molecule: ribosomal RNA, 116 nt
Filed under: Vibrio parahaemolyticus
Lineage: Bacteria; Pseudomonadati; Pseudomonadota; Gammaproteobacteria; Vibrionales; Vibrionaceae
Description: partial 16S ribosomal RNA
Rfam family: Bacterial small subunit ribosomal RNA
Source: RNAcentral